CUUAUCUCUUGAAGCGUAACCGCAAUCGCGAAAAGCCUCCAAGCAAGAAGAAUCCGUCCAUAAUAUCAUUCUCCAGUUCCACAGUGUUCUACUUUUUAGAACCCAAAACACAAAAUCGCGAACGAAAUCCCGAACUCCUAUUUCCAUUCUUUCUUUCGCGUUCUUUUCUCUUUCUGUUUUCUUCCUUUUCUCUCUUUCUUUGCUUCUGUCUUGGUUGCUUUUUCUCUUUUGUGUUUCAAUGUUUUGUUUUCUUCCGUUUUUCAACGUUUUGAUUUCUUCUUCCUUUUUUUUUCUUUCUCUUUCUGUUAUUUUGUUUUCCGUUUCUUUCUUUAUUCCUUUUCUUUUGUUCCUUCUUUUCUUUCUU
Molecule: long non-coding RNA, 364 nt
Filed under: Nicotiana benthamiana
Lineage: Eukaryota; Viridiplantae; Streptophyta; Magnoliopsida; Solanales; Solanaceae
Description: long non-coding RNA (NBEN_LNC040269)
Source: RNAcentral